RNAcentral lists this long non-coding RNA (431 nucleotides) under Mytilus galloprovincialis (Mediterranean mussel). Lineage: Eukaryota; Metazoa; Mollusca; Bivalvia; Mytilida; Mytilidae. The record is from RNAcentral.
AUUUUUUGUUAUGAUAAAUGUAUUUUGAAUUAUUUGGUUUAUUAUGUUUCUUUUAUUUUUGACGUUUAUUCUUCUUUGUAAAUUGCCUUUUUCUUCUUGAUGGUAUUUUUAACAAAGGUGGAAAACAAUCAACUGUGUUUUUAACUUUACAAAGAAAAAGAACAAAAUUUCGCAAAUUAUUUUACUUAAUAUAAUUUUUAUACAAUAUGGUAUAUUUUUGUAUUCUUGUAUUUUUCCCCUAAUGCGCUUUGUCUAAAUAGAUAUAGGAAGAUGUGGUAUGAGUGCCAAUGAGACAACUCUUCAUUCAAUUAACAAUUUAUAAAAGUAAACCAUUAUAGGUCAAGGUACGGCCUUCAUCGCGGAUCUUGGCACACACCGAACAGCAAGCUAUAAAGGUCCCAAAAAAUAGUAGUGUAAAACCAUUCAAAUUC